UCUGGUGUCCUAGGCGUAGAGGAACCACACCAAUCCAUCCCGAACUUGGUGGUUAAAACUCUACUGCGAUGACGAUACUAUAGGGGAAAUCCUACGGAAAAAAGCUCGACGCCAGGA
RNAcentral lists this ribosomal RNA (117 nucleotides) under Beta vulgaris subsp. vulgaris (sugar beet). The record is from RNAcentral. Lineage: Eukaryota; Viridiplantae; Streptophyta; Magnoliopsida; Caryophyllales; Amaranthaceae.